GCGCGCUAAUCGGGGAGUCAGCGGUGCCCUGUCGCCUGCAACCCGCUAUAGCAGGGAUGAAUCCCCGCCUGAGGGCGCGGAGUGUGUCGUCUGUUACCGGUAAGUGGCGUUGAAGAAUCGGACUUGCGCAACGAAGGCUCGUGAACCAUGUCAGGCGGGGAACCGAGCAGCAUUAAGCGAUUACCCUCGUGUGCCGCAAGGAACCCGGUUCUGAGCUAACUGCCGGAGAAACGGGCAUAUUCCCAGUUCAGGGGCGGGUGCGCGC
RNAcentral lists this signal recognition particle RNA (265 nucleotides) under Oscillospiraceae bacterium. RNAcentral's name for it is "signal recognition particle sRNA large type". It matches the Rfam family "Bacterial large signal recognition particle RNA". From Rfam's summary of the family: The signal recognition particle (SRP) is a universally conserved ribonucleoprotein involved in the co-translational targeting of proteins to membranes. Archaeal SRP consists of a 7S RNA and homologues of the eukaryotic SRP19 and SRP54 proteins. In most bacteria, the SRP consists of a 4.5S RNA and the Ffh protein (a homologue of the eukaryotic SRP54 protein). Lineage: Bacteria; Bacillati; Bacillota; Clostridia; Eubacteriales; Oscillospiraceae. The record is from RNAcentral.